Molecule: unclassified non-coding RNA, 339 nt
Filed under: soil metagenome
Description: partial contains 5.8S ribosomal RNA, internal transcribed spacer 2, and large subunit ribosomal RNA
Rfam family: 5.8S ribosomal RNA (bases 1-120)
Source: RNAcentral
GAUGAAGAACGCAGCGAAAUGCGAUAAGUAAUGUGAAUUGCAGAAUUCCGUGAAUCAUCGAAUCUUUGAACGCACAUUGCGCCCCCUGGUAUUCCGGGGGGCAUGCCUGUCCGAGCGUCAUUGCAACCCUCAAGCGCGGCUUGUGUGUUGGGCUUCGUCCCCCCGUGGACGUGCCCGAAAGGCAGUGGCGGCGUCCCGAAUGGUGCCCGAGCGUAUGGGAACUCUCUUCCGCUCGAACCGGCCCAUUCGGCGCUGGUCGAACCCCAAUUUUUUUUUACAGGUUGACCUCGGAUCAGGUAGGGAUACCCGCUGAACUUAAGCAUAUCAAUAAGCGGAGGA